RNAcentral lists this ribosomal RNA (247 nucleotides) under uncultured bacterium. RNAcentral describes it as "partial 16S ribosomal RNA". It matches the Rfam family "Eukaryotic small subunit ribosomal RNA", at positions 1565 to 1804 of the family's 1831-position model. The record is from RNAcentral.
UCGUGAUGGGGAUCGGGGAUUGCAAUUAUUCCCCAUGAACGAGGAAUUCCCAGUAAGUGCGGGUCAUAAGCUUGCGUUGAUUAAGUCCCUGCCCUUUGUACACACCGCCCGUCGCUACUACCGAUUGGAUGGUUUAGUGAGGCCCUCGGAUCGGCCCCGCCGGGGUCGGCCCACGGCCCUGGCGGAGCGCUGAGAAGACGGUCGAACUUGACUAUCUAGAGGAAGUAAAAGUCGUAACAAGGUAACC